RNAcentral lists this ribosomal RNA (582 nucleotides) under uncultured bacterium. RNAcentral's name for it is "bacterial SSU rRNA". It matches the Rfam family "Bacterial small subunit ribosomal RNA", at positions 102 to 680 of the family's 1533-position model. The record is from RNAcentral.
ACGGGUGAGUAAUGUCUGGGGAUCUGCCCGAUAGAGGGGGAUAACCACUGGAAACGGUGGCUAAUACCGCAUAACGUCGCAAGACCAAAGAGGGGGACCUUCGGGCCUCUCACUAUCGGAUGAACCCAGAUGGGAUUAGCUAGUAGGCGGGGUAAUGGCCCACCUAGGCGACGAUCCCUAGCUGGUCUGAGAGGAUGACCAGCCACACUGGAACUGAGACACGGUCCAGACUCCUACGGGAGGCAGCAGUGGGGAAUAUUGCACAAUGGGCGCAAGCCUGAUGCAGCCAUGCCGCGUGUAUGAAGAAGGCCUUCGGGUUGUAAAGUACUUUCAGCGGGGAGGAAGGCGAUGCGGUUGAUAACCGCGUCGAUUGACGUUACCCGCAGAAGAAGCACCGGCUAACUCCGUGCCAGCAGCCGCGGUAAUACGGAGGGUGCAAGCGUUAAUCGGAAUUACUGGGCGUAAAGCGCACGCAGGCGGUCUGUUAAGUCAGAUGUGAAAUCCCCGGGCUUAACCUGGGAACUGCAUUUGAAACUGGCAGGCUUGAGUCUUGUAGAGGGGGGUAGAAUUCCAGGUGUAGCG